AUUGAACGCUGGCGGCAUGCCUUACACAUGCAAGUCGAACGGCAGCACGGGUGCUUGCACCUGUUGGCGAGUGGCGAACGGGUGAGUAAUACAUCGGAACAUGUCCUGUAGUGGGGGAUAGCCCGGCGAAAGCCGGAUUAAUACCGCAUACGAUCUACGGAUGAAAGCGGGGGGCCUUCGGGCCUCGCGCUAUAGGGUUGGCCGAUGGCUGAUUAGCUCGUUGGUGGGGUAAAGGCCUACCAAGGCGACGAUCAGUAGCUGGUCUGAGAGGACGACCAGCCACACUGGGACUGAGACACGGCCCAGACUCCUACGGGAGGCAGCAGUGGGGAAUUUUGGACAAUGGGCGAAAGCCUGAUCCAGCAAUGCCGCGUGUGUGAAGAAGGCCUUCGGGUUGUAAAGCACUUUUGUCCGGAAAGAAAUCCUUGGCCCUAAUACGGUCGGGGGAUGACGGUACCGGAAGAAUAAGCACCGGCUAACUACGUG
This 486-nucleotide ribosomal RNA is filed under the name uncultured bacterium. Its description in RNAcentral is "partial 16S ribosomal RNA". It matches the Rfam family "Bacterial small subunit ribosomal RNA", at positions 30 to 507 of the family's 1533-position model. The record is from RNAcentral.